RNAcentral lists this ribosomal RNA (2584 nucleotides) under Klebsiella pneumoniae. RNAcentral describes it as "bacterial LSU rRNA". It matches the Rfam family "Bacterial large subunit ribosomal RNA", at positions 354 to 2925 of the family's 2925-position model. The record is from RNAcentral. Lineage: Bacteria; Pseudomonadati; Pseudomonadota; Gammaproteobacteria; Enterobacterales; Enterobacteriaceae.
GGUACAGGGUGAUAGUCCCGUACACCAAAAUGCACAGGCUGUGAACUCGAAGAGUAGGGCGGGACACGUGGUAUCCUGUCUGAAUAUGGGGGGACCAUCCUCCAAGGCUAAAUACUCCUGACUGACCGAUAGUGAACCAGUACCGUGAGGGAAAGGCGAAAAGAACCCCGGCGAGGGGAGUGAAAAAGAACCUGAAACCGUGUACGUACAAGCAGUGGGAGCACCUUCGGGUGUGACUGCGUACCUUUUGUAUAAUGGGUCAGCGACUUAUAUUCUGUAGCAAGGUUAACCGUAUAGGGGAGCCGCAGGGAAACCGAGUCUUAACUGGGCGUUAAGUUGCAGGGUAUAGACCCGAAACCCGGUGAUCUAGCCAUGGGCAGGUUGAAGGUUGGGUAACACUAACUGGAGGACCGAACCGACUAAUGUUGAAAAAUUAGCGGAUGACUUGUGGCUGGGGGUGAAAGGCCAAUCAAACCGGGAGAUAGCUGGUUCUCCCCGAAAGCUAUUUAGGUAGCGCCUCGUGAACUCAUCUUCGGGGGUAGAGCACUGUUUCGGCUAGGGGGUCAUCCCGACUUACCAACCCGAUGCAAACUACGAAUACCGAAGAAUGUUAUCACGGGAGACACACGGCGGGUGCUAACGUCCGUCGUGAAGAGGGAAACAACCCAGACCGCCAGCUAAGGUCCCAAAGUCAUGGUUAAGUGGGAAACGAUGUGGGAAGGCACAGACAGCCAGGAUGUUGGCUUAGAAGCAGCCAUCAUUUAAAGAAAGCGUAAUAGCUCACUGGUCGAGUCGGCCUGCGCGGAAGAUGUAACGGGGCUAAACCAUGCACCGAAGCUGCGGCAGCGACACUAUGUGUUGUUGGGUAGGGGAGCGUUCUGUAAGCCUGCGAAGGUGUGCUGUGAGGCAUGCUGGAGGUAUCAGAAGUGCGAAUGCUGACAUAAGUAACGAUAAAGCGGGUGAAAAGCCCGCUCGCCGGAAGACCAAGGGUUCCUGUCCAACGUUAAUCGGGGCAGGGUGAGUCGACCCCUAAGGCGAGGCCGAAAGGCGUAGUCGAUGGGAAACAGGUUAAUAUUCCUGUACUUGGUGUUACUGCGAAGGGGGGACGGAGAAGGCUAUGUUAGCCGGGCGACGGUUGUCCCGGUUUAAGCAUGUAGGCUGAUUGUCCAGGCAAAUCCGGAUAAUCAAGGCUGAGGUGUGAUGACGAGGCACUACGGUGCUGAAGUAACAAAUGCCCUGCUUCCAGGAAAAGCCUCUAAGCAUCAGGUAACAUUAAAUCGUACCCCAAACCGACACAGGUGGUCAGGUAGAGAAUACCAAGGCGCUUGAGAGAACUCGGGUGAAGGAACUAGGCAAAAUGGUGCCGUAACUUCGGGAGAAGGCACGCUGGUGUGUAGGUGAAGUCCCUGCGGAUGGAGCUGAGACCAGUCGAAGAUACCAGCUGGCUGCAACUGUUUAUUAAAAACACAGCACUGUGCAAACACGAAAGUGGACGUAUACGGUGUGACGCCUGCCCGGUGCCGGAAGGUUAAUUGAUGGGGUUAUCCGUAAGGAGAAGCUCUUGAUCGAAGCCCCGGUAAACGGCGGCCGUAACUAUAACGGUCCUAAGGUAGCGAAAUUCCUUGUCGGGUAAGUUCCGACCUGCACGAAUGGCGUAAUGAUGGCCAGGCUGUCUCCACCCGAGACUCAGUGAAAUUGAACUCGCUGUGAAGAUGCAGUGUACCCGCGGCAAGACGGAAAGACCCCGUGAACCUUUACUAUAGCUUGACACUGAACAUUGAGCCUUGAUGUGUAGGAUAGGUGGGAGGCUUUGAAGCGUGGACGCCAGUCUGCGUGGAGCCAACCUUGAAAUACCACCCUUUAAUGUUUGAUGUUCUAACGUUGGCCCCUGACCGGGGUUGCGGACAGUGUCUGGUGGGUAGUUUGACUGGGGCGGUCUCCUCCCAAAGCGUAACGGAGGAGCACGAAGGUUAGCUAAUCCUGGUCGGACAUCAGGAGGUUAGUGCAAUGGCAUAAGCUAGCUUGACUGCGAGCGUGACGGCGCGAGCAGGUGCGAAAGCAGGUCAUAGUGAUCCGGUGGUUCUGAAUGGAAGGGCCAUCGCUCAACGGAUAAAAGGUACUCCGGGGAUAACAGGCUGAUACCGCCCAAGAGUUCAUAUCGACGGCGGUGUUUGGCACCUCGAUGUCGGCUCAUCACAUCCUGGGGCUGAAGUAGGUCCCAAGGGUAUGGCUGUUCGCCAUUUAAAGUGGUACGCGAGCUGGGUUUAGAACGUCGUGAGACAGUUCGGUCCCUAUCUGCCGUGGGCGCUGGAGAAUUGAGGGGGGCUGCUCCUAGUACGAGAGGACCGGAGUGGACGCAUCACUGGUGUUCGGGUUGUCAUGCCAAUGGCACUGCCCGGUAGCUAAAUGCGGAAGAGAUAAGUGCUGAAAGCAUCUAAGCACGAAACUUGCCCCGAGAUGAGUUCUCCCUGAGACUUUAAGUCUCCUGAAGGAACGUUAAAGACGAUGACGUUGAUAGGCCGGGUGUGUAAGCGCAGCGAUGCGUUGAGCUAACCGGUACUAAUGAACCGUGAGGCUUAACCUU